AUCCCUUUCCCUUUCGACUAGUGAUGUGACGAUGAUGGUUUCGUCAGUUGCGGAAACUUCGUGCUUCGCCAUACCGUAUUGUACCAUUUUAGACAUAAUAUGUAUGUAUGUAAUAUGUUGUGUAAGUUUUUUUAGAAUCCUCUAGGCCAGCGGAGCAGUUAGGCCGCGUGUCACGAGAUGGACCUGAUGAUGAACUUCAAAGAAGUGCGAGGGAACGCGGUGUUGGUUUGUGAUAGACAUAUGUUGUAUGGGUUUUUUAGAAUCCUCUAGGUGAGCAGUUAGGUCUCAUGUCACGAGAUGGACCUGAUGAUGAACUUCAAAGAAGCGCGAGGGAACUCGGUGUUGGUUUGUGAUAGACAUAUGUUGUAUGAGUUUUUUAGAAUCCUCUA
Cydia amplana is the source of this 389-nucleotide long non-coding RNA. RefSeq lists it as uncharacterized. NCBI's taxonomy places the organism in Eukaryota, Metazoa, Arthropoda, Insecta, Lepidoptera, Tortricidae. The record is from RefSeq and is a predicted model, not a curated record. The transcript is spliced from 2 exons.